CAGUAGCCGCGGGAAUACGUAGGUGGCAAGCGUUGUCCGGAAUUAUUGGGCGUAAAGGGCUCGCAGGCGGUUUCUUUAGUCUGAUGUGAAAGCCCCCGGCUCAACCGGGGAGGGUCAUUGGAAACUGGGAAACUUGAGUGCAGAAGAGGAGAGUGGAAUUCCACGUGUAGCGGUGAAAUGCGUAGAGAUGUGGAGGAACACCAGUGGCGAAGGCGACUCUCUGGUCUGUAACUGACGCUGAGGAGCGAAAGCGUGGGGAGCGAACAGGAUUAGAUACCCCUGUAGUCCCUGUCUCUUAUAC
Molecule: ribosomal RNA, 301 nt
Filed under: uncultured bacterium
Lineage: Bacteria
Description: partial 16S ribosomal RNA
Rfam family: Bacterial small subunit ribosomal RNA
Source: RNAcentral